RNAcentral lists this ribosomal RNA (630 nucleotides) under Histophilus somni. RNAcentral's name for it is "bacterial SSU rRNA". It matches the Rfam family "Bacterial small subunit ribosomal RNA", at positions 300 to 925 of the family's 1533-position model. The record is from RNAcentral. Lineage: Bacteria; Pseudomonadati; Pseudomonadota; Gammaproteobacteria; Pasteurellales; Pasteurellaceae.
AUGGCCAGCCACACUGGAACUGAGACACAGUCCAGACUCCUACGGGAGGCAGCAGUGGGGAAUAUUGCGCAAUGGGGGGAACCCUGACGCAGCCAUGCCGCGUGAAUGAAGAAGGCCUUCGGGUUGUAUAGUUCUUUCGGUGAUGAGGAAGGCGAUUAGUUUAAGAGAAAAAUUGAUUGACGAUAAUCACAGAAGAAGCACCGGCUAACUCCGUGCCAGCAGCCGCGGUAAUACGGAGGGUGCGAGCGUUAAUCGGAAUGACUGGGCGUAAAGGGCACGCAGGUGGAGACUUAAGUGAGGUGUGAAAUCCCCGGGCUUAACCUGGGAACAGCAUUUCAGACUGGAAGACUAGAGUACUUUAGGGAGGGGUAGAAUUCCACGUGUAGCGGUGAAAUGCGUAGAGAUGUGGAGGAAUACCGAAGGCGAAGGCAGCCCCUUGGGAAGAUACUGACGCUUGAGUGCGAAAGCGUGGGGAGCAAACAGGAUUAGAUACCCUGGUAGUCCACGCUGUAAACGAUGUCGAUUUGGGGAUUGGGUGAAUACUUGGUGCCCGAAGCUAACGUGAUAAAUCGACCGCCUGGGGAGUACGGCCGCAAGGUUAAAACUCAAAUGAAUUGACGGGGGCCCGCA